CCCCUAGAUGUUCUGGGCCGCACGCGCGCUACACUGAACAGUUCAACAAGUCUUAACCUUGGCCGAUAGGUCUGGGUAAUCUUUGAACGCUGUUCGUGAUUGGGAUAGACCUUUGCAAUUAUGGGUCUUCAACGAGGAAUUCCAAGUAAACGCAAGUCAUCAGCUUGCAUUGAUUACGUCCCUGCCCUUUGUACACACCGCCCGUCGCACCUACCGAUUGAAUGGUCCGGUGAAAUCUCGGGACGGCGGCUUGGUCGCUUGCGUCCGACUGCUGAAACUUGAUUAAACCAUAUCAUUUAGAGGAAGGUGAANUCGUANCA
Molecule: ribosomal RNA, 320 nt
Filed under: uncultured eukaryote
Lineage: Eukaryota
Description: partial 18S ribosomal RNA
Rfam family: Eukaryotic small subunit ribosomal RNA
Source: RNAcentral